This 593-nucleotide long non-coding RNA is filed under the name Bos indicus x Bos taurus (hybrid cattle). RNAcentral describes it as "lncRNA (ENSBIXG00000014727.1)". Lineage: Eukaryota; Metazoa; Chordata; Mammalia; Artiodactyla; Bovidae. The record is from RNAcentral.
GAAAUGAACACCGCUGGACAGAGAAUGUGACAGCUGGAAUAUGGGACUUAAGCAUUUACAGUUGCGUAGGAUCUAAUCAUUUGGAAACGCAUGAAUAAGAUCAUUAAAUUGGGAGAGAGUGGAAAGAGCAUCUGGGGGGAAAUUCAGCUUAGUGAAGAAGAAAAAACACAUUGGAAGAAAGAGGAAACCAGGCUGACAUAUAAUUAGGAGAAACCAAGGAAGUCAUUGAAAACCAAAGUGAAGACAAAUGAUUCCACAGAAGGUGAUGAACGUGGAAGAGACCAGUGCUGUUGAAUGGUGACCUUCAGAUCCUUCCAUCUCAAUGACAAGUGCAAUGAUCUUGUCCUGUUCAGAGGACUUUGUUUAAAGGGUUCCAUGAUUUGUGAGAUUCCAAGAAGUCCAUGUGUGACCAGUGAGCAGAUGGGUCUCUCCAAGUCAAUGCCAAGUCACUAUGAUUCCAAAAAACAGUUGGUGAAGUCCGGCAAGGAACUCACAAGAGUGAUCCAUAGCCAAUUUAGUGUGCGGAACGAGGCUACUGUGCUCCCUCUUGAAGAUCCUCAAUAUGUGUAUCGAAUAUCCUUAAAAGUCCUCCU